This 206-nucleotide unclassified non-coding RNA is filed under the name Hevea brasiliensis (rubber tree). The record is from RNAcentral. Lineage: Eukaryota; Viridiplantae; Streptophyta; Magnoliopsida; Malpighiales; Euphorbiaceae.
GACCUUCAACUAUAAUGUGUUGAAGUGGAGCCCAACCAUUAGGAAAGUCCCAUUGUUGUCCCGAAUUUGUUAAAGAAGUGGCAAUUCCAGCAGCACAAAUCAAGCCUGAACUUCGAAGACUUCUCAUGAUAGUCUCCACCAAAGUAGCAUCUGAAUUGAACAGAUCAAUCCACAAAGGGAAAAAGUUUGAAGCAAACACAUUCUGA